GGCGGACGGGUGAGUAACGCGUAAGGAACUUGCCUCUUGGUCUGGGACAACUGUUGGAAACGACAGCUAAUACCGGAUAUUAUGAGAUUCUCGCAUGGGAAACUUAUGAAAGCUAUAUGCGCCAAGAGAGAGCCUUGCGUUCCAUUAGCUAGUUGGUGGGGUAACGGCCCACCAAGGCGACGAUGGAUAGCCGGCCUGAGAGGGUGAACGGCCACAAGGGGACUGAGACACGGCCCUUACUCCUACGGGAGGCAGCAGUGGGGAAUAUUGGACAAUGGGCCACAAGCCUGAUCCAGCAAUUCUGUGUGCACGAUGAAGGUCUUCGGAUUGUAAAGUGCUUUCAGUUGGGAAGAAGAAAGUGACGGUACCAACAGAAGAAGCGACGGCUAAAUACGUGCCAGCAGCCGCGGUAAUACGUAUGUCGCAAGCGUUAUCCGGAUUUAUUGGGCGUAAAGCGCGUCUAGGCGGAAAAAUAAGUCUGAUGUUAAAAUGCGGGGCUCAACUCCGUAUUGCGUUGGAAACUGUUUUUCUAGAGUACUGGAGAGGUGGGCGGAACUACAAGUGUAGAGGUGAAAUUCGUAGAUAUUUGUAGGAAUGCCGAUGGAGAAGUCAGCUCACUGGACAGAUACUGACGCUAAAGCGCGAAAGCGUGGGGAGCAAACAGGAUUAGAUACCCUGGUAGUCCACGCCGUAAACGAUGAUCACUAGUGUUGGGGGGUCGAACCUCAGCGCCCAAGCUAACGCGAUAAGUGAUCCCGCCUGGGGAGUACGCACGCAAGUGUGAAACUCAAAGGAAUUGA
RNAcentral lists this ribosomal RNA (800 nucleotides) under uncultured bacterium. RNAcentral describes it as "bacterial SSU rRNA". It matches the Rfam family "Bacterial small subunit ribosomal RNA", at positions 97 to 913 of the family's 1533-position model. The record is from RNAcentral.